This 446-nucleotide ribosomal RNA is filed under the name uncultured bacterium. RNAcentral's name for it is "partial 16S ribosomal RNA". It matches the Rfam family "Bacterial small subunit ribosomal RNA", at positions 338 to 795 of the family's 1533-position model. The record is from RNAcentral.
CCUACGGGAGGCAGCAGUCGAGAAUCAUUCACAAUGGGGGAAACCCUGAUGGUGCGACGCCGCGUGGGGGAAUGAAGGUCUUCGGAUUGUAAACCCCUGUCAUGUGGGAGCAAAUUAAAAAGAUAGUACCACAAGAGGAAGAGACGGCUAACGCUGUGCCAGCAGCCGCGGUAAUACAGAGGGCUCAAGCGAUGUUCGGAAUCACUGGGCGUAAAGCGUGCGUAGGCUGUUUCGUAAGUCGUGUGUGAAAGGCGCGGGCGUAACCCGCGGACGGCACCGGAUACUGCGAGAGUAGAGGAAUGGAGGGGGAACCGGAAUUCUCGGUGUAGCAGUGAAAUGCGUAGAGAGCGAGAGGAACACUCAUGGCGAAGGCGGGUUCCUGGACAUUAACUGACGCUGAGGCACGAAGGCCAGGGGAGCGAAAGGGAUUAGAUACCCCGGUAGUC